UUGGAACCUUGUUGCACAGCCCAAAUGCUUCCUGAGUUGCUUGGAGUGAAUUUGAGAGCAGUCCUGCUGGCUUUGCCGUGACCUGGAAAUCACAAAUGCUAUGCUUCCCUCCAGUGGCCCAUUAUCACCAACAAGUACUCAGCUGUGAUGGAUGGCUGUGGAGCCAAGUUGGUAAAUUUGCAUAAUGAGCCUUCCGCAAACAUUACAUUGAAAACAACAUGGUGGAUCACAUCACACACAAGGCCAGCUUUUCAAUACGUUAUUUCCAAUUGAGAGGGUGUAAAGGAUGGUCACAGCACAUUCCUCUUGGGGAACCUCGAAUCACACCUAUAACCCUAACACUGUGAGUCUAAGACAAGAGGAUCACCAGUUUGAGGCUGGCCUGGGCUACAUGAUGAGCUUGAGCCUAUUCUUUUCCUGGCAUGAACUACAGCUGACCUAAUAUUUUGCUGCAUGUUGGGGUACAACUUAAACAUGCAUGAUGAUGACAAGCAGUCAAGAGGCAACAGUAGUGAAAGGACUAUAUCUGAAUGAAAACAGGGUUACACUAUCAAAAUGUAACAUGGCUUUAUCUGUGAACCAACAUUCAGAAAUGGAGAUGAGAAUGUCCAGUACUGAUUUGUGAAUAAUCCAAUGGACAGCAGCAGGGCCUCCUUUUUCCUUAUUGAGCCCAGUGUGCAUCUGCAUGUAUGUUUGCAGUAUAAAGGAGAACCAAGAAUUUCCAUUUGUGUGCCACCAGCAUUCUCUACAGACUAGAGCCACUUUGAAAGAGAUAUUCGCACAUGCUGCACUCAUUUUCUGGUUAAAGUAAUGGGACUGUUCACUGAUGAAGUCGUCAUUUCAAACACAGUGGUCCUCGGAGACCUGAACCACCUUGAUUAAGGUCCAGCUUCUCCAUGGCUAUACAGAGACAUCUAAAGGAGAGUGCUUCUAACUGUGGACAGAAGAGCUUCUGCCAUCUCUAACUUCAUAGUCCCAGAUGUGAAAAAAAGAAGCCCCAGACUAAUCUCAUUCCCAGAUUACUCUCCCUGGACACUUUGGAAGCCCAUCCAAAAGGCCA
This 1060-nucleotide long non-coding RNA is filed under the name Cricetulus griseus (Chinese hamster). RNAcentral's name for it is "lncRNA (ENSCGRG00015029666.1)". The record is from RNAcentral. Lineage: Eukaryota; Metazoa; Chordata; Mammalia; Rodentia; Cricetidae.